UGCCAUUUCAAAUGGUUGCUCGUAUUGCCGUUGAUGCCAUAUCAAUUUUUCAGAAGAUUCACUCCAAAGGCUUUGUACAUGGUGAUGUCAAACCUGAAAACUUUUUGCUCGGUCAGCCUGGAUCUGCUCAAGAAAAUAAGCUUUUUCUCAUAAAUUUUGGCUUAGCAUCCAACUGGAAAAGAGGAUCAUUCAGCAAGCAUGUUCAGUAUGACCAGAGGCCAGACAUAUUUAGG
Triticum dicoccoides is the source of this 233-nucleotide long non-coding RNA. RefSeq lists it as uncharacterized. The transcript is spliced from 3 exons. NCBI's taxonomy places the organism in Eukaryota, Viridiplantae, Streptophyta, Magnoliopsida, Poales, Poaceae. The record is from RefSeq and is a predicted model, not a curated record.